UGCUCUUCAGAUCGAAUUGACCUCCAGGUCAAUUGACUGUGAGAAUUAGCUGUGUCUAAGAUGGGAGAACUUCUGUGCUGGAGACAGCUUUAUGAGACAAGACUUGCAAAACUGCAAAAGCCUCUGCUCAGUUUGGAUGGAGCAGAGUCUCAGGGCUGAGCAGACAACCUUGGCUUCC
Long non-coding RNA from Pipistrellus kuhlii (Kuhl's pipistrelle), 178 nucleotides. RefSeq lists it as uncharacterized. The transcript is spliced from 3 exons. Lineage: Eukaryota; Metazoa; Chordata; Mammalia; Chiroptera; Vespertilionidae. The record is from RefSeq and is a predicted model, not a curated record.